UAUAUUUGCCGCCUGAAAGAAAAUCUUUCAGCGUACAUAAAAAUCAUUUAAAUAAUAUUGGAAUG
This 65-nucleotide non-coding RNA is filed under the name unclassified sequences. The record is from Rfam.